UUACAGCUGUUUUAAUCACGGUAUGUGUUAUCUAUAGUCAACAUUCAGAAGAUACAAUAGCAGAUGGCCAAGAACCGUGCAUAACAUAUCAAGAGCGGAGGGCCUGGCAAGAGGACAACUGUUUAGUCGUUUAUGGGACGAAAAAUCCGGGAACCCGUGUCUACAUUGGCGUGUACGUAAAAAUCCCUUGGUAGUGGGAAUUCGAUAUAAGAGUAGGCC
Molecule: long non-coding RNA, 219 nt
Organism: Patella vulgata (common limpet)
Lineage: Eukaryota; Metazoa; Mollusca; Gastropoda; Patellidae
Exons: 3
Source: RefSeq, a predicted model, not a curated record